CCAGACUCCUACGGGAGGCAGCAGUGGGGAAUAUUGCACAAUGGGGGGAACCCUGAUGCAGCGACGCCGCGUGGGUGAAGGAGUAUUUCGGUAUGUAAAGCCCUAUCAGCAGGGAAGAACAAUGACGGUACCUGACUAAGAAGCACCGGCUAAAUACGUGCCAGCAGCCGCGGUAAUACGUAUGGUGCAAGCGUUAUCCGGAUUUACUGGGUGUAAAGGGAGCGUAGACGGCAAUACAAGUCGGAAGUGAAAUACCCGGGCUCAACCUGGGAACUGCUUUGGAAACUGUAUGGCUAGAGUGCUGGAGAGGUAAGCGGAAUUCCUAGUGUAGCGGUGAAAUGCGUAGAUAUUAGGAGGAACACCAGUGGCGAAGGCGGCUUACUGGACGAAGACUGACGCUCAGGUGCGAAAGCGUGGGGAGCAAACAGGAUUAGAUACCCCAGUA
This 445-nucleotide ribosomal RNA is filed under the name uncultured bacterium. RNAcentral's name for it is "bacterial SSU rRNA". It matches the Rfam family "Bacterial small subunit ribosomal RNA", at positions 331 to 792 of the family's 1533-position model. The record is from RNAcentral.